ACAGAGAAACAGAAUCCUUUUAUCUGAACCAGCUAUCUUGCCUCCCAGUGCCUUCACAACAAGCUGGAUGUACUCAGGAUGCGCCUUAUAUAUAACUCCAGUAAUGAGAUUGCCAUCAGAAACACAAUCCAUCAUGGUUUUGGGUUCAAUCCAAAGAGCACCGGCAUCGAUGAGAACAGGUCCCAGAGCAUGGUAUGCAGUGCACUUCCGGCCUUUUAAUAAGCCUGCAGCUGCCAAGAUCAAUGGCCCAUGGCAAAUAGCAGCAAUCAGCUUUCCUGAAUCGGAAAAUUGCCUCGCACAAUUUAACACAGAUUCAUUUAUGGCAAGAUAUUCUGGAGCCCUUCCUCCUGGUAUAACAAGCGCAUCAUAUUUGCUGAAAUCAACUUCAUCGAAAGUUGCAUUGAGACUAAAGUUGUGCCCAGGCUUCUCAGUAUAAGUCUACAGCAAGUAAAGUUCGAACAAACACAUCAGAACUAAGGUAAUGAAUGGCCACAUUAAGGAUGUACUUUAUUUGAUCAGUUGGGCUACACCCACCAAGUUUAUCAGAAGUUCAAAACACGGUUUUUAUCAAAAAGGGAGCUCGCUAGACACAUUAUGAAUGUUAAACGAUCAUGGAAUCAUUAUCACUAUCAGUCUCACCACAACCACAACCACUAUCAUCACCAAGAUCAUCACUAUUACAUCCUCUACUACCAUCGGAGCCAGCAUUAACACCAAUAUUACUACCUCCACCUCCACCUCCACCUCCAGCAUCCAUAUCACAUGACAAGCAAUUAAUCAGAAAAACACUCUAAUUAGUUUCAGAAAAAUCAAAAUCUUAGAUUUGAAAUCUUCUUUAAUCCAAGAAGAUUUGUCUAACAUCAUGGGUUUUGUGCACUAAUAUCUAGAGACUGACAUACUCACAUGCCCUGUACAAUAAUUUGCACAUCCAUACAAGACAUAGAUGGGGGUGUUACAAAGAAAUAUGUAUUGCCAAGCAAACAAUGAUUUCGUUAACAAUCAUGAAAUGGAUAUUCAUAUAAUAACAAAUUAAUAAAUACAAGGAAGGGGGGGGGACCUGAUAUCCAUGAUAGGCACCAGAGUCCUCAACUGUAGUGCGGCAAUAAUCACCAGCUUUCUUUCCAGGACAAACAGCAUCAACUGCUAUUCCAUAAGCCUGCAAGGCUUGAAAUGGAACCAUAGCCUGCAAAAACAAUAACAAAACCCCAUCACUUAAAGAAGAAAAACAACUUCAGAUAGAUAAAAACGAAAGCAACCCACCUCAUAAUCUUCCAUGUAAUCCCCACAUAACAAUAGAACUUUCUUCUGUGGCUUGCAAUUAGCCAUUGCUGAUGCUAACAAUGACGCUUGAGAUUUAGCUCUCUGUGUAUUGCUAUUUGAGUGAUUAUAAAUUUAUAAGUGCAGGAGAAACGUUUUGUUCUUUAACUCUCUUUGUUAAUGUUGACUCGAUCUCGAUGCACAUUCUGACGAAUAAAAUAAAGAAAAUGGGAGGUUUGUUAUUUACGUAAACGACUUAAGUUCGGUUUCACACUAUUCAUAUAAAAACAUCGAGAAAAAAAGUUAAUAAAUAUAUAUUUUUUAAUUGUUGUGCUUAGCUCAAUUGGUUUGUGGACGUGUCUUAGUCGAAGUUCCUGUUACAUGGAGAUUUGACCACCAAUUAUGCUAGCCGCCUCUCCUCACCUAUCUUGUCUUAACUUCAGACGCGGAGUUUUGAAAAUGUUUGUUCAAUUAAUACAUACUAUAUAAUUUUUAUUGUAAAUUUUUUAUUAAAAUAUUUUUUAUUUAAAAAUAUAUUAAAAUAAUAUAUUUUUUAUUUUUAUACCAACAUAGAUAAAAAAUAUUAAAAAUAAUUUUUUUAAAAAAUAUUAUUUUGAUGUAUUUUUAAAUAAAAAAUACUCUAAAUCACAAAUGUUCCUAAACAUACAGUUAAAGAUUAUGAUGCUCCGAGCAACUAGAACAUCUUUGCAGGCAAUUUCAAGGCCAUAGUUUUGGCAAACAUUAGUACUCUAUUUCUUGCAAUCAGAUUUUCCUGCUUUUGAGUUCUCCGAGGUAUCUCUACUCAUAUGGUGUCCUAAGAUUGCUUGACUUCAUUUUGGCUUCCACUGCCUAAAUUUGGAUCUGAUUCUUGCUAUUGUGAUGAUUUUGGUCUGUUGCUGCUCUAAUUGCUUUGUGGGGUUUAAUACCGAACUCAUUUUUUAGAUUCAAGAUUUCCUCCAGUAUUAGUUGUUUGAUCCUUGCCAGUUCAAUUUGAAGCUCCUCUUCAUGUAUGCACUGCACUUUGGUGUCGGUCUGAAUGGACAACAUAAACUGACCACUGCAGAUGUUGCGCUAAAAUUAUAGUUGAUCGCUACUGUUCACUCUAAAAUUUGUCGUCUGUAAAGCCAUAUCAUUCUGAAAACUUGUCGAAGACACUAUUUCUUGAUGAUGAAUGAUGGAAUGAUUGAAUUGUCUCGUAUAUACAACAAGAUUCAUCUAAGAAAUCGGCAAGAAAUUCCCAUUCACGGAAAUUCAUAUGGGGAAAGUGAAUAAAAUCUUGGUCUCUCUUUCUGUUAUUUUCUUUUAGAAAAAUUCAUUAGGUUGCUUGCUUGCUGCAGUUGAAUGCUUGAUUUUCCAAAUGAACACCUUCUCUGUUAAUCUCCUAUAUCUUCGAAAUAAUCCUUUUCUUUGAAGAGCUCAAUCAUACAUCAUUAAUCAUCGUGCUAUUUCUUUACAGCCCCCUGCUCUAAAACGUUCCUUAUGCAUCCUAUAUUGCGCUUGCGCUCCUUCCUUUUCUUCUUGGCCACUAUAUUUUUCUUUUUGGCCAUAUCCACACCUCUAGAUCGCCAUGGCAACGAGAUAUUCAAAGAACAUAGCCACCUGUUCAGCUGCGGAUCAAUGCAAGACUUGUCAUAUCCUUUCUGGGCCAACAACCGAAGCCUGGACUGUGGACGUCAAGGAUUCAAGAUUUAGUGCCAAAACAAUAACACUGUUAUAGACACUACUAAAAAAUAAAUCUAUUAACAACUAACUAUUCCAUUACAGAUAAUAUUAAAAUAUGUUGUUGAUAAAAUUCAGCAACAGAAUUAGCAAUAGAUAAUUUCAGAUGCAAAUAAUAAAUGUUAAUUUUUUAACAACAGAUUAUCAGUUGCUAAUUUGUUUAGCAACAAAUUAUCCAUUGCUGAAAUUCGGUUACUGAAUGUGUAAAUUAGCAACGGAUAUUCCAUUGUUAAUGAACGUUGCUGAUCAGCAACGGAUAUUCUGUUGCUGAUCCGUUGCUAAUUAACAAUAGAAAUUUUGUUGCCAAUCCGUUGUUGAUUUAACAUGAAUUUUUUAAAUUAUUUUUUUCAUUUAUUGAAUUUUUUAAUUAUUUGUGGCUAUUUCAAAAAUUAUAGAUAAAUAUACAAAGAACAUAAAUUAAUAAUAUAAAUUAUUUUAUAAAAAAUAAUAAGUCAAAUAAAAUAAAUUUCACAAUAAAUUUUUAAAUCUCUUCAAACUUACAUCAAAAUAGAUAAGUCACAAUUUAAUAAAUAUGUUUUAUCAUAAAGGUGGUGGUGGGGGUGGUGUUGGAAACGAACCAAAACAAUGCUGACCAUCAUGAGGUGGGACCGGUAUACGGUGGUUGAGGCCUCGGUCGAUAUACUGGAUUAGACAAGGAAUACAUCUGUGGAGCCAUAUGUGAUGGCAUAGAUGAAGCCAUAAGUGUCAACAUACCUUGGUCCAUAUUUGAUGCCCAAGCUUGGUAUCCCAUAUUACUAAGAAAGUUUUUGAUUGAAGUCAUCUCCUGUUGUGGUGAUAAAAUAUGACCAUCUCUUUUCUUUAUUUGCUCUUUCAAUGCCUGAAUUGAUGGGCUAGGAGGUGUUGACUCCAUCGUAUAGGAUUGUGAUGAAGCACUCGUACUAACCAUGGAUUUCGGCAUAUCAGGUGCACCAUAUAUUCUACCCUUUAUAACUCCUUCUAUAGCCACACACCAAGCUGCUCCAUCAAAUGAAGGAUGAUUUUCCCGAUCAAUUUCAUAUAUUGAAAUCAUCUCUUUUAUGUAAUUCUCCUACAAUAAAAUUAAAUAUAAUAAUAAAUUCAUUUUAAUUUUAAAUAAUAAUUAAAUUACAUAAAAAAAUACUUACAACAACUUUUUUAGACUUGUUAUCUAUGAAGGUUUCAGGCUUCUUGGCAUUCUGAUGCAACACCAAAAACACAUCAUCCAUAAUUUAUCAAAGGGAAAUAUAAUACGUUAUUUUGAUUGUCCAAUGGAUUAGUAAAAUGAUGUAGGCAAAAUAGCUAGCUAAAUAGGAUACACUAAGCAAUUGCUCUGUUUAUUAUUUCUCACCAUAAUUUUUUUUCUUCAACUUUAGUAAUAUAGACUAUUCUAUUGGAAAAAAAAAUAUAAUCGUUUUCAUUGUCAAGUAAUAUUGUAGAAAUAAAGUUUGCAUGCAAACAUAUGCCAUAAUUAUUUUUUUUAACCAACUAUUAAAUAUUUAUUUCAUCAAUAAUUUAUUACUUAAGAUUGUCACAUUAAACAAAGAAAUACCAACAAACUAAAAACACUUUGGAGACAAAUUAUAUCAUUAUUAGCAAACAGAGGCUAAGAUUUAAUUACGAUGCAAUUUUUCUACAAAUCAAGUUAUCUUUCAAAAUUAAUAAAAAGUUUUAAGCUACAUUGACAAACCUGGAGGACCAAUAUGCACAACCCAAAAACUUGACAACUCCAAAUGCAAAUAAGUAAUGUGAUGAUGAUAGGUUCAACAAUCUGAAAUUAAAAAAAUAACAAUAAAUAAGAAUAAUAAUAUUAAAAAAUUAAAAAAGUAAAUUAGCAUGUAAUGAGCAAGAAUAGCAUUGAAUAAUGUUUCCAACCAUUUUAUUUAUGAUUUAUCAGGACUUUAUAAAAUAAAAGUCAUUUAACAAGUUGGAAAAUAAAAUCAUUUAAUAGGCUGGAAAGAGAAUCCCAACACUGCCAUUUCCUUGCCCACCCAAAAAUAAAGUCAGAAAAUAAUCAUUUAACAGGCUGGAAAGAGAAUUGGCAAUCACUGGGGAACGGAAUUGGAGUAGAUUUCAACUCACCUUUCUGCUCAACCUCAGGCUAAAUAACCUGAUAUUGAUGACAGCUGACCCUUCGCAGAAGGAAAUCCUCCAGCAAUUAACGGUACAAAAGUUAGCAUUCGUGGCUAUAGACGGCGAGGCUGAUGAACUUGGACUCACAUUUGUAACACAUACAAUAAUAGUCUUCUGAAGAGUCCCAUAUUAUAUUGAGCAUCCUGACAGAAAACAAGAAAUCUGGAUGAAAAUCAUUUACUUCUAGUUAAAAUAUUCAGAUUGAAUUGAACAUAGCAGACUCUUUCAACACAUGAAGAAAUCGCAUAGUAGCUAAUAUCUUCACAGACUAGUUCAUGAAUUCUGGAUCCAUCCUGCAGGUCAUGUUUUUUUUUUUCAACCAUGAAGAAACAACAUAUUAAAAUGCAUCGUUCUUGUCUCCAUUUGUUUCAGAUAAUGAGUCUCCAUUUGUUUCAAAUAAUGAAAAUCAACGUAACUACGUACUAGUUGUCGUCCUCUGCCAGCAUAAAUGAAAAAUGUAGCACGUUGGAGAAAAAAGACAAGGUUAAAGGAGACAAAGCCAAAGCCAUAUCGAGAAUGAAGGAACUAUUGCGAUGGGCUGCCUCUGCAAAAUCGGAGAAAGCAGGAAAGUAUAUCGGCCGGAAGGUCAAUUUUUUAACAUAUUUGAGUCAUUAAUCUUCUCCCUGAACCGGAAAAUUUAAAAUUUCUCCUCUCUCGGCAUGUUUGGACGUUUGAGUUCAUUAAGUGCGCAUGCAGUAUCGGUAAAGCCUUGGAAAAAAAAAAAAAGCCUUCAAAAAUUAAUUAAAUAAAAAAAAUCAAAUUAACUGAUUAUAAAAUCCAAAAAAACUAUUAUCCAGUUCAAUUUUAAUUUAAAAAACUUGAAAUUGAUUCAGCCAACAUUAAAUCUAAAAUAAAAAAAUAAAAAAAUUAAUAUUUUUAUUAACACAAAAUUAAUCAAACCCACAUUCCCCCAAUCAGCCUUCUUUUGCAUUUAUGCUGCCUAGACAACCUUCCUAAGACACAUUACUAGAGGUGAGCAAAAAAAAUUGAAAAACCGAUUUAACUGAGAAAACAAAAAAAAAUUAACCAAAAAAAUCAAACCGGUAAAAAAAACCGAUUGAACCGGUUAAAAUAUUUAGGAAAAUAUCCGGUUCAGUUUGGUUUUCGGUUUUGGUGUGCCUGAACCGGCCAACCCGAACCGAACCGGUUCGGUUUAAAAAUGAAAAAAAAAACCAAGUCGCGGGCCGCCUCCUCCCUCCUAUUAGUCAACAACCCUAGCAGACCAUUUAUCAUUUCCUUCUCUUUCACACAACCGCCCCCUCCCCUCCCAUUAACUCUUUGAAUGCUUUCACAAUUUGAAGGGUCCCUUUUAUUCACAGCUUCCAGCCUGCCAUGCUCUCUUUGUCUCUCAUCUCUCAACGUAAGGGAAAAGUAAUUGAUUACAGGUUAAGCUUUAAUAUUUCUUUUCAAUAUUUGAGUAAAAUUUGUCUUAUUCUCUUCCAAUCUUCCAUGCUUUCUGUCUCUCAUCUCUCAUCUCUCAAACUUGCCAUCUCAGAUGUGAAUUGUUGAUGAUUCUUCCAUUGAUUUACUUGAUUCUCCUUCAUGGGUCACGACACAAAAAGAUCCCACCUCGAUUGCCUGAGAGGGAUUAUUUUGGGUCUAGAAGCUGAAGAGUGUCCAGAAAAAUCAAAGUAGUGAUUGACUGAUUGCUAAGAACUGAUACUGUUUUUUUGCAAUUAACUUUUCCUUUGCAAGAAGUUGUAACAACGAGAACAACGUUGUUGAUUCUUAGAGGAUGACAUCUUGGAAUUGCAUUUCAGUUUGAAUCGGUUUGGAAGGGAAAAAACCGAACCGAACCAAAAUUAAUCGGUUUGAAUUGGUUUUUGGUUCGGUUCAAAAACUAAAAAAAAAUAUUUUGGUUUGGUUGUUUAUUUUGGUUCAAAACCGGACCGAACCGAAAAUGUUCAGCCCUACACAUUACCCAAACUUUGUAUGGAGAAGUUGGGAAGCUUUGCUAGGAAGCCGGCUAAGACACAUUCCCUACUAUCAUAUAUAGUUUUUACCAUAAAAUUUGCACAAACUCUGCCAUCCUUUCUAAAACACAUUACCCAUAUUUCUCCCCCAAAAAACAACACACAUACACCCAGUAAAACCAAAAAACCCAGAACCCUAUAAAAAGUCUAACUACUUCCAUAUUUAACAAUAAUUAGCAAUAGAUUUACAAAAUUAUUCUGUAAAAUUAGUUAAUAAAACAAUAUAUAUUCUCUCUAAAUUACAAACAUAAUCUUUUAAAUAUGGGUUUUUGAUUAUACCUGCUAUUUUAAUUUUUCACACCAUGUUUGCUCCCUGCAAGAUUGAAUUUUUGGAAGCAUAAAGUAACUGGAGAAGAAGUUAAGAAAACAACAAGUUAUGUUUGUGGAAAAUGACACAUGACAGGGAUAGGUAGAUUUAAAAGGGACAUAUGGGUUUGGCUCCUGGAAAAGGAAUAGAAAGGAAGAGAUAUGGGUUAAUUAGGUUUUUGAAGAAUUAUAGAAAGGGAUACAAUAUUGGGUUCUUUCGAAGAAUGAAGAAAGUUUGCAGCUGUGGGGUUCUCCUUUUGUUGUUUUCAAGUAAUAAAAAAGCAACACGUCAUUAUUAUUAUUAUUAUUUUAUAAAAGUUUACAGCAAUCAUAUUACAAGGGAAAAUAUGUUGUUGAUUCUUAAUAUAUUAAUUUAUUUUUUAGUAUCUAAUUUUUCAUUACUGAAUCCGUUGCUAAUAUUAAAAAAUUAAUAUAUAUUUAAUCCGUUGCUAAUUUAUUACUAAAAUUACAUCUAAAUUAUUCUAAUACUAACAUCCGAUGGUAAUUACCCUCCUUUUUUAAUAGUGAGAGAUCAUGUCACAGAAUUACAGCAUUAAUGUCAAUCGACAAAGAGCUUCCUAUUCGUACAGUAGUCGAAUGGAUAUGAAGGAUGAUGGUUGCCCUGAGGAUCUUUUUAACAUCACCCUCAGCAAUACUCCCUUUGAUUAUGCUCCUUGGAGUAUAAACCCUAGUUUUAUAUACGAUUUGCCCCCUGAAAAGUAGAAUCAAAUACCCAUUACCUCAAAAUGCCCCAUAAAAGUUACGACUGCCGGAGGUUUCUACAGACAAACGGAACCGGCAACCACAUAUUCAAUCAUGUGGUAACAACAUCCUAGUUUCGAUUCUUGCUGCCUUUGAGGAACUUUACAACCCUAAAGCAACAGUAAAGAUAGGUCUUGAAUCGGACUCCAAAGUUGACUGGAAACCUCACUCGUUAUGCACCACAACAAGAGAUGGACAAUGUGGACAUUAUCCGUGUAGUUUUUAAAGUUUACUUUUUGAUCAUAAAACUUCAUUCUUUCACCUUUCAAUCUUUGACUGUUGAGAGAGGAGAGAGGCACUGAAGAUGAAAAUAAAGAGAGAAAGCUUUAUAUCGGUGAUGAAAAUCGAUUGGUGUUAAUGAAUUUUUCUUGAAUAAAUGAGUCUAAUGAAAGUGAUUUAAAUCUUACAAAAAAAACAUAAACAAGGAAAGGAAGUUUUAAUCAAAGAAAAACUUGGCAAAAAUUCACAAUAAAAAUCUAUUUGCUUGAUACUAUGGCCUGUUGAUAUUUUUUUGAAGGAAAAGAAAGAUCUUAUCCAUGCCAAAGAUGCAUGCAUGCAUGGUUCCUGCUUUAUCAUGAAAAUAAUUAGGAUGGUUCUAAUCAACUGAAAACGGGGGCAAAAUUAGGAUUUUGAAAAUUAAGGGUGCCAAAAUGAAAAUAUAUUACAAUACAUUUAAAAAUAAAAUAAACUAGAAAUGAUCACUAUAGAAAAUUACAAUUACAAAAAAAGCCAGUGGUUUUACUGGACAAGAAGUUAUUGUGCACGCUCUGUAUUUUCAUUAUGAAUUACAAAAGUGCCAUUUUUCUUUUUGUAAAACCUAGUUGAAACUUGUCUAGAAAACAUAAUUAAAUGGGCUUAUACAAGUAAGAGGUGAGAAUGAAAGUCUAGUAAAUUAAGUAGGACUAAAUUAGAAACAUGAGGGAUAAUUUUAAAAUUAUUAUAAAGUGAAGGACUAAAAUGCAAAAAAGAAAAGAAAAGAAAGUUUAGCCUCUCUCUUAAAAGAGGGCUGGCGGUGUGAAGAAAAGAAAAACUCCAUCUUAUCAUAUUGAAUGGACUAACCGUUUUUUCCAUGGUUGCUUCUGCUUUUGAAGCAAACCACGGGAAAACAAACGUUUGGUAAUUAAUAAAACUCAAUUUACUGUUCAUGGGUCCUAUUGGUAUUUUCGUUGAAAACGCAGGAUUACUAAAAGCAGCACAAUACUGCUUUCAGUUGUGGAGAGUGUCUCCACUGUUCACGUGAACAGUGGAGCCUAUCUCUAUUGUUCCGGUCGGACCGGGUCUGGUCCAAAGUUAAAUAUAUUGAACCGGGUCCGAUCCAGUAAGAAAAAUUAAAUUAAAAUUUUUUAUUUUUAAUUGUGUUUUAUUCAAAAAACUAGUGUUUAAUAUUAUUCAAUGACACUACAUAAAUUAGACGGAGAUCGCUUGAUUGAUCGCAAUCCCAAUUUUGUUCUUGAUUAUAUUUUACCUUAUGUUGUUGCGUACUUAAGAAACCAAGAAAACUGUAAUCCUUGUUAGAUGUAUUUCAUACGUGAUGAAAUUGUAGAUAGUUUAAUUAAACAAUAAAAAAUAUUUUAUAUAAAGUAUUAUUUAUUUCAUGAUGUAAUAAUAAUAGUUAAAUCUAUAAUAUUUAAAUUAAAAACCAUCAAUAUUAAUCUAUAUUUUUUAAAAUUAUUUUAUAACCUUAAUUUAAAAAACAUUCUUAACUAAAGACAUUAAACUACUUUUUGUAUAACCUCAAUUUCAACCACAGUUUUAACCAAACAUACAUAAAUAUUAAACCAACCGCAACCAAAAGUACUUUUUAUAAAACAACUUUUUCAAACCACAACCAUAAAAGCUACCACAAUAUCAAACACACUUUAUCCAUCAAACUCAACUGAUGCAUUCAGUUUUUGGACUUUAAAAAAAAAUUUUUUAUUUUAAAUUAAUAUUUUUUAAUAUUUUAAUGUGCUAAUAUUAAAAAUAAUUUUUUUAAAAUAAAAUUUUUUUUUAAUAUAUUUUAAAUUUUUGUUUUUUUUUUAAAAAAACUCAAUAUCAUAUUCCAAAACAACCCGCCGUGACACUGCAAAAAAAAACCUUUGUGCCAGCACAAGGUAAACUUCCCAGUAACUAUCAUUUCAAGUGAUGAAAAGGCCGGCUGGUCAAAAAUUGUCUGUGGCAGAAAAGCUCCAAUAAUCAACUCAAACUCACCCUCUCAUAACCUUCAUUAUACUGAUUCCCUCUUCACCCUCCUCCCCCAUAAUUUAUUCACCACCGUGUCUCUUCCUCUAUCUCCUCCACAAAAUCAAGAUUCCUAAAUGAACCAUAACUUCUUUUUAACAUCCUUUUCUUCAAUAAUAAGUCUCUUUGUUGUCUCUUUGUUCCUCCUGGAAAAGAAAGCCUCAUGUACAGACCCUCAGUUCCUAGCUUGCAAUCCCGAAAGCUGUGGCGAUGGCCAAAACAUAAACUUCCCAUUUUACAUCCAGAACAAGCAAGAACCCUCAUGUGGCUACCCUGGAUUCAGUCUCUCUUGCAAUAACAAAGGCAAGCCAGUCCUUAAACUGUCCAAUAAUGAGUAUAUCAUCCACGAAAUCUACUACCAAAACCAGUCUCUUCGUGUCUCAAAUACAGCUGUUUUUGGGAAAAGCACCCCCUGUAUUCCUCAAAUACAAAACAUGUCUCUAGCUGAUGACAGGUUCCAUCUGCCUUCUAACAGAGCAAGCCUCUUCUUGCUUUACAAUUGCAACGCAACACUGCUAGCAAAUGAUAGUGAACUUCUGAAUUACAAGGUUGAUUGUUUUGGGGAGAAUGGAACUGUUUCAACUCUAGCAAUGCUUGAUGAUGAUCCUCUGUUGGGUCCUGCAUCGGACAAGUGUGAAACUGGAGCUGUGGCACCUGUGGAUGUGUAUAGAGGAGAGAAUGUUGGGAGUGAAAGGAUGCUAUUGUUAGAAAGAGGGUUUGUGUUGAAUUGGAUAGCAAGUAAUUGUAGCAUCUGUGAAGGGAGUGGUGGCAAGUGUGGAUUUGAUAACGCCACAUACCAUUUCAAAUGUUUCUGUCCUGAUAGACCUCAUUCUCGGUCUUGUACUUCCGGUGAGUCAUUUUAAUUUUUUCUUUUUUCCUGUCUUGAAAUUUUGUUAAUGUUAUUUUAUGGCAUAGAGCCAUUGCCCACUUGUUUGCCUUGGCUAAAAAGUUGCUAGUUGUGUGUUACGCUGGGAUACUCUCUUCCUUCCACUGUCUAGAAGAGGUAAAAAACUCUCUUCCUUCCACUGUCUAGAAGAGGUCCAUCUUGCUAGGCUAGCAAAGUCUUGGAUGAACAGUGGCACACACCACUAACAAACUGGCAGUAGGUACUGGGUGGUUUAGGCGAAGAGUCUUCGAUGAAAAAUGGGGAGAUAGCUACUUUCAUGCAUGUAUAUAAACUUGAUUUUUUAAUAUUUAUACAAUUUGAUUUGUAUCAUUUUCUGAAUGAUUCUUCAGGAAUAGAACUGGUUCUGUUUCAAUGAAUUUAGAUCAGGAAAUUAACCUGCAGCUGCCUGUUUUUUCUUCUGCAUUGGUUCAGCUCUUAUUAUUCGAACAUAACAUUAUGUUCUGUCAACUAUGAUGCAGGGAAUGGCAAUAUGGGACGAAAGCUUAUAAUAGGUAACAGAAUAAUUUAUCAUUUUUAUGUUUUAUAUGUUCCUUCACAAUCUUCACUUGAAUUCGACUGUCGUAUGCUUUUCUCCAUGCCUGUCCAUCAUCAAGGUGUAGGAACAGGAGGCCAAGCUAUAAUGAUAAUUCUGUUGCCAUUAUGCAUUUCCCUUUUCUGAUUAAAAGUAGAGGUCUCUCUUUCAGUGAACUUGAACAAGCCAACCAUCGUUUUCAUCCCUCGCAUUAUUUUCUUCAACCAAAAAACCUGACCAAGACGGACACUAUAUCUCCCAACUGAAACUGUUCUCCUCCUUCUCCAAUCUUUUAAACAAGCGUAGUACAAAGUGUUUAGCAGUACAUGUGCAUACAAGGCAUGCUUUACCAAACUUUCCUUCACUGUGAGAGGUUGAAACCUCUUCAAAAAUAGUUUAAAUGACUCAUUCUUAGACUGCAUUAUUUUCCUUCCUCAUCACCUUUCUUUACUGCAGCUGCCUCAGCUGCCGGCGUUGGAGUUCUAAUAAUUACAAUCUGCUGCGUCAUCAUCAGAAUGUUCUUACCCGUCAACUUCCUUUCCAGUUUGAGAAAAACCAGAGGAAGUCGAAGUAUAGAGGUUUUUCUGAGGAACUAUGGAACCUUGGCACCAAAAAGAUACAGUUAUUCAGAACUUAAGAAAAUGACCAAAACCUUCAAAGAGAAACUAGGCCAAGGAGGCUACGGAAGUGUUUUCAAAGGCAAUUUACCUGAUGGUCGUCUUGUUGGAGUUCUAAUAAUUACCACCUUUCAAGCAUCAGCCAGACUUCCCACGUCAACAUUGUUACUCUUCUGGGGUUCUGUUUUGCGGGUUCCAAACGAGCUCUAAUCUACGAGUUCAUGUCUAAUGGGUCACUUGACAAGCACAUAUAUGAAGAAAAUCUCUCGAAGGCAGAUCGCCAAUUGGGGUGGGAAACACUAUACCAAAUUGCAGUUGGCAUUGCUCGGGGAUUAGAAUACUUGCACAGAGGUUGCAACACAAGGAUUUUACAUUUCGACAUCAAGCCUAAUAAUAUUCUUCUAGAUGAAAACUUCUGUCCAAAAAUUUCUGAUUUCGGCCUGGCUAAAAUAUGCCCCAGAAAAGAGAGUAUCGUAUCGAUGACGGGUGCAAGAGGAACUAUUGGAUACAUUGCCCCCGAAGUAUUUUGUCGAAAUUUUGGAGGGGUCUCUCACAAAUCUGAUGUUUAUAGCUACGGGAUGCUAGUAUUAGAAAUGAUUGGAGGGAGAAAAAACUUCUGCGUCGGAGCUGGUAAUACCAGUGAGAUCUAUUUUCCAUAUUUGAUAUACAAGCGUCUUGAACUAGGUGAAGAACUUGGACUUCGAGGGACGGGCAAUAAAGUGGAAGAGCAAAUUGCAAGAAAAAUGAUUUCGGCAAGCUUGUGGUGCAUACAAACUGAUCCCUCAAAUCGGCCACCCAUGUCUCGAGUGGUAGAAAUGCUGCAAGGAAGCCUCGAGUCCUUGCCAAUCCCACCGAGACCGAUCUUGUCUUCCCCUCCAAGAUCUCCUCGUGGAUCAAUUUCAGAUUUCUCGAGCACCGCUAUCAUAAUCCAUGACCUUUAAGUUUUAAAUACGCAUCGCGUCUUCCUUGCACCAGGCCUGAUCUUUUUUGUGCUCGGAACCAUGCCCAGCUAACAACUUUCUCUCUUCUUUGCUAUUUACUAGCAACUCUUUCUCUUCUCUCAAACUAGGGGUCAAAAUGGGAACAAAAUAAAGUCUUGGACCAAAAGGAAACUUUGACAAAAAAAGCAGAGGGACUGUUGUUUUCCCUAUAUCAGAGCUACCAUUUUGAUUGUUAUUCAAUAUUGGUACCCUAGCUUCUAAUCCAAUUAGAACCAUAAAAUUAAUUUGAUUUCCGCAAUAUCAAGUCCGAACCUAAAGUUGAAAUGCCUUGUCAAGACCACGGUAGCCUAACAGAAGGCAAGCAAGAUCAAAUUAGAACACAAUUACCUAAAUUUACCCUUUUUAUUUUUCUUCCUAAAGCAUUUUUAAAAAAAAUUAAUUUUUUAUUUUAUUUCUUUUUUAUUUUAAAUUAAUAUUUUUUUAGUAUUUUUAGAUCAUUUUAAUACGCUGAUUUCAAAAAUAAUUUUAAAAAAUAAAAAAACAUUAUUUUAAUACAUUUUUAAAUGAAAAAUAUUUUGAAAAGGAACCGUAACCAAUUAUAAAAAAACUCAAUUAAAUAAGAAAAACCUCGAAACAAAAUUUAGAAGGGCAGAAAAAUAAAAAUACUCUGAAAUCUUUGAGGGAGUUUUGUAACAUUUAAAAAACACUAGCACUUAUAGAUGCAGAAAUAUUCCAUUUUAUUUCCAAUUGACUUGAAAAUCUUUCAAAGACGCCGGCUGUUGUUUGUGAAGUUCCAACGUGAGCCAUGGACGUUAAAUGUAGUGGUGGAUGGGAGUUGUUCCUCCCUUGCCCCUGCUACAUAUUUAUAGGAUUUGGUACGGGUUCACGUAUUUUCAUAUAUAUAUUUUUAAUUAGAAUAUAGUAUUUAAUAGUUUAUACUCAAUAAAAAAUAAAAUACAAUGCCAAAUGAGGCCAUCUACUUGAGCAUUAAAGCAGGGUCAUCGAGGGCUUUGAAUCCGGAUGUUAUUUGAUAGACAUACAUGAACAGGUAAGUAUUAUUGCAACAGCACAGCUAGAAUGACACUCGGAUACCAAGUAAGGCCAUCAGCUGAGACACAAACUGAGGGUGCCCUGGCCAUGCGGCUCCGGUAACCAAGUUUUCGUCGGUGUAGCAACGAUCGAUUGGAUCCGGUUCUAGCCAUGUUGCCCCUCCCAAGACGACGUUCAGCUUCACAGCAGGGUAUGCGGUGCACUUUCUUCCCUGCAGCAACAUGAUUCACAUAUACAAGAAUAAGGAUGGCAAGUGUGAAGAAAAUGAUUACUUCUGUGAUUCUAUGAAGGGGAAAGAAAACAUUGGAUACUACCUUGAGAACUCCCGCAGCAGCUAGGAUCUGCUGUCCGUGACAAAUAGAGGCAACUGGCUUCUUUGAUUGCAUGAAUUUCUUCACCAAGGCAAUCACUGUCUCAUCCAGUGCCAAAUAUUCUGGAGACCGGCCUCCAGGGAUGACGAGAGCGUCGUAACUCGAGGCAUCCAAGCCUUCAUAGGAAGCUGUUAGAAUGAAAUUAUGGCCUGGCUUCUCAGUGUAUGUUUGGUCACCUUCAAAGUCAUGGACUGCAGUCGGGCAGAAAUCCCCAGCCUUCUUCUUGGGGCAAACUGCAUCAACGUGGCACCCAAGAGCUUGAAGGGAUUGAAGAGGAACAGUAACCUCAUAAUCUUCCAUGAAAUCCUGAAAGCAAGAAUAAGAGAAUAAAUACUUCUUAGUAAACAAGAAAAAACACUUGUUUCUUCGAGCUUGAUGAUAGUAACCAGAGUCAAAUAAUUUUUGUAUUAGAACUUACCCCACAGAGAAACAGAAUCCUUUUAUCUGAACCAGCUAUCUUGUCUCCCAGUGCCUUCACAACAAGCUGGAUGUACUCAGGAUGCGCCUUAUAUAUAACUCCAGUAAUGAGAUUGCCAUCAGAAACACAAUCCAUCAUGGUUUUAGGUUCAAUCCAAUGAGCACCGGCAUCGAUGAGAACAGGUCUCAGAGCAUGGUAUGCAGUGCACUUCCGGCCUUUUAAUAAGCCUGCAGCUGCCAAGAUCAAUGGCCCAUGGCAAAUAGCAGCAAUCAGCUUUCCUGAAU
This 15445-nucleotide long non-coding RNA is filed under the name Populus trichocarpa (black cottonwood). RNAcentral describes it as "long non-coding RNA (PTRI_LNC001176)". The record is from RNAcentral. Lineage: Eukaryota; Viridiplantae; Streptophyta; Magnoliopsida; Malpighiales; Salicaceae.